This 204-nucleotide long non-coding RNA is filed under the name Elaeis guineensis (African oil palm). Its description in RNAcentral is "long non-coding RNA (EGUI_LNC063943)". The record is from RNAcentral. Lineage: Eukaryota; Viridiplantae; Streptophyta; Magnoliopsida; Arecales; Arecaceae.
CCAGCAUCGCCUUCUUAGCUUCGGUGGUUUUCGCCCUAUCCUUCCAGGCCGCACGGAUGUCACCGAACCUCUGGUACCCGACUUCCAACUCAGACAUGGUGUGGACCAGCUGCAAAUAGAAGAUCGAUCGUCAGAAAAAUAAAAUGAUGAAAAUAAUGAUGGAGAGGAAAGAAAAAGAAGAACUCACCCCGAUCAUGGUUGGGU